This 497-nucleotide ribosomal RNA is filed under the name uncultured bacterium. RNAcentral describes it as "partial 16S ribosomal RNA". It matches the Rfam family "Bacterial small subunit ribosomal RNA", at positions 28 to 507 of the family's 1533-position model. The record is from RNAcentral.
GAUGAACGCUGGCGGCGUGCCUAAUACAUGCAAGUCGAGCGAACGGACGAGAAGCUUGCUUCUCUGAUGUUAGCGGCGGACGGGUGAGUAACACGUGGAUAACCUACCUAUAAGACUGGGAUAACUUCGGGAAACCGGAGCUAAUACCGGAUGAUAUUUUGAACCGCAUGGUUCAAAAGUGAAAGACGGUCUUGCUGGCACUUAUAGGUGGAUCCGCGCUGCAUUAGCUAGUUGGUAAGGUAACGGCUUACCAAGGCAACGAUGCAUAGCCGACCUGAGAGGGUGAUCGGCCACCCUGGAGCUGAGACACGGUCCAGGCUCCUACGGGAGGCAGCAGUAGGGAAUCUUCCGCAAUGGGCGAAAGCCUGACGGAGCAACGCCGCGUGAGUGAUGAAGGUCUUCCGAUCGUAAUACUCUGUUAUUAGGGAAGAACAUAUGUGUAAGUAACUGUGCACAUCUUGACGGUACCUAAUCAGAAAGCCACGGCUAACUACGUG